Molecule: long non-coding RNA, 913 nt
Organism: Crotalus tigris (Tiger rattlesnake)
Lineage: Eukaryota; Metazoa; Chordata; Lepidosauria; Squamata; Viperidae
Exons: 3
Source: RefSeq, a predicted model, not a curated record
CGAUGCUGCUUUGAUCAUUCGGAUAAAUGAAUCAAAUCCUGCAGAUACCUCUGGCUUUGAGUACCCUGUAUUUCAGGGAGGAAAUCUCCAGUCACUGAAUUGUUUCCUUCGAGGUGUGAAAUAAAGAUGGCUUCAAAAACUCAAAACCCCUAACCCUAACAGCUCACCUGGAGAAGAAUCCCUCAGAUGACUCCUUUUCUCAAACUCCUGAAUCAUCCCAUCUCUUCCGAUCUGGAAGAUCAUGUCAGAUUCACCAUUACGGAGGCAGUCAUAUGGAUAUUGGGGUGGCAAUUCUAAAAUAAGGAAAAAAGUGAAGCCAGAGGAAAUAUUGGAAACCAUGCAGAAGGUCCCACUCCUCUUGGGUGAAGUAUACAGCCACAUCCUGGAAUGCCACAGGACACUAGAAGAGGAAGAACAUUGAAUAAAUGAACGUCUACUAUUCUGAUGAUUGAUAACCAUGCCAUUUAGCAAAAAUAUUCAAUAAUAAAACCUGCUGCAUCUUGAAUUUUUAAUUCCAUAGCUAAGUUUAUAUAAAGCUGUCCGGUAAUGUUGAAGCAAGGGCUCCCCUAACAAGUAGCAGGGUACAGAUUAGAAAUGUAACCAUACGCCUACAACUGGGAUACAACUUACUGUUUUAACUUGUGGUUCUGAUUUGUGGUUCAGCAAGCUAUAGAAAACAAGCCACUCACUUAUGUCUUAAUCCAAUGGCCUGGUUAAGAUAACAGAGCUAUAAGAUGUUAUAUGAUAGGAUAUAGGAUACUAACCCAGGAUUUGUAAUUAGGAAGGUCUGAACCAAGAUAUUGGGGUGUAUUUUAUAUAUGUAGCUCUCCAAGUAAGAACAGGCUUUCCUAGAAAGUUGGGAACUGUUAUCAAGGGAAAUAAGUGUUUAGCCUUCCCUCUUUCUACUGCCCAC